UACGACUACAUAUCAGGCAUAUCAAUAAGCGGAGGAAAAGAAACUAACAAGGAUUCCCUUAGUAACGGCGAGUGAAGCGGGAAGAGCUCAAAUUUGAAAUCUUCAAGGUUUUACCUUGACGAAUUGUAGUUUAAAGAAGUGUUUUCUGUUGAAGUUUCGGUAAAAGUUCUUUGGAAUAGGACAUCAUAGAGGGUGAGAAUCCCGUAUUUGACCAUUUCUUCCAGCUGUGUGAUACACUUUCAAAGAGUCGGAUUGUUUGGGAAUGCAGUCCAAAAUGGGUGGUAAAUUUCAUCUAAAGCUAAAUAUUGGCGAGAGACCGAUAGCGAACAAGUACCGUGAGGGAAAGAUGAAAAGAACUUUGAAAAGAGAGUUAAACAGUACGUGAAAUUGUCAAAAGGGAAGCGUUUGACACCAGUGUUGUUUUCUCGAAAAUCAAUUAAAAAUGACCGGAUUUUGUGUUGUAUUGACUUUAUCAGCUUUCUGCACUUUUUUCUUGUCUUUUUUAAUGCACUUUUCGUUUAACAAGUCAACAUCAAUUUCUUUUGUUGUAAAAGAGUCAUUGGAAGGUGGCUUUCAUUUCGGUGAAAGUGUUUAUAGCCUUUGACUUCUGCAAUCGGAGAGAUUGAGGUCUGCAGCGUAGAUCCUUCGGGGUUAGAUACAUUUGUGCUAAGUCUAUAGUUCUUUCAUAGACAACAUUGUUGACUAUGAUCAAUCCUGUAGCUUACUCGCUUAUGCUAUUUUACCUACGCUUAGGAUGUUGAACGCGCACAGAGUCUC
This 777-nucleotide ribosomal RNA is filed under the name uncultured Neocallimastigales. RNAcentral describes it as "partial large subunit ribosomal RNA". It matches the Rfam family "Eukaryotic large subunit ribosomal RNA", at positions 24 to 611 of the family's 3401-position model. Lineage: Eukaryota; Fungi; Neocallimastigomycota; Neocallimastigomycetes; Neocallimastigales. The record is from RNAcentral.